Gorilla gorilla gorilla (western lowland gorilla) is the source of this 546-nucleotide long non-coding RNA. RefSeq lists it as uncharacterized. Lineage: Eukaryota; Metazoa; Chordata; Mammalia; Primates; Hominidae. The transcript is spliced from 3 exons. The record is from RefSeq and is a predicted model, not a curated record.
AAAGCAUGAGAUGUGAAACCAGGAAGAACCAGGUCUGAACCUUAGCUCCACCAGUGGUAGCUCCAAAUCUUGGUCUUUUCUGAGCCUGCUUCUUCAACCCUAAGGGAACACUACACUUCCUUAGAAAUUAAGAGUGUGUGCUACACUGCUUUACCAGAGCAAGACCAAAAGCAGCUUCAAUUAUGGUACAACUGUGAGAAGACACAAUGCGAAACCACUCAAGAAUGCUCACUCAAAUGGAUUUUUACCAUGGAACUGGGAAACGGGACCCAGAAAGUUGUUUUCUGCAAGUGGAUGGAACAACACAAGCAAUCAGUAUCCUGAAACAGGCCCUGUUCCAACAAACUGACCCAGAAAGGUCUGGUUAGAAGGACAGGACUCUCACUAUACACUAUCACAUUUAAACUAAAAGGAUAUUAUGAAUUAUGUAGACAUAUCAAGCUGAGAGGAAAGGAAAUCCUAUCAUCGUGCAGGCUUCCUAAUGAUCUUACUUAAAACUGAGUUACUGCAACAAUAACGUGUAUUCCACUUACUCAUACCUGUUCC